RNAcentral lists this ribosomal RNA (321 nucleotides) under uncultured eukaryote. RNAcentral's name for it is "partial 18S ribosomal RNA". It matches the Rfam family "Eukaryotic small subunit ribosomal RNA", at positions 1470 to 1796 of the family's 1831-position model. The record is from RNAcentral.
CCCUUAGAUGUUCUGGGCUGCACGCGCGCUACACUGACACACUCAGCGAGUCUCCUGGUCCGAGAGGAUUGGGUAAUCAUGUGAGCGUGUGUCGUGAUGGGGAUAGAAUAUUGUAAUUAUUACUCUUCAACGAGGAAUUCCUAGUAAGCGCGAGUCAGCAGCUCGCGCUGAUUACGUCCCCGCCCUUUGUACACACCGCCCGUCGCUCCUACCAAUGGGUGAUCCGGUGAAUGACUCGGACUCUGGAAUUAGCUAUUUAUAGCUUUUAUCCGGAGGAAGUUUUGUGAACCUUAUCACUUGGAGGAAGGAGAAGUCGUAACA